GAGAGACGCUGGCGGCGUGGAUUAGGCAUGCAAGUCGAACGGUAUCAUCCUUUCGGGGGUGAGAGAGUGGCGAACUGGUGAGUAACACGUAGGUUAUCUACCCUCAAGACGGGACAACCCAGGGAAACUUGGGCUAAUACCGGAUGUGAGCAACUUUUAGUUGUUUGAAAGGUGGCGUAAGCUGUCGCUUGGGGAUGAGCCUGCGUCCUAUUAGUUAGUUGGUGAGGUAACGGCUCACCUAGGCAAUGAUAGGUAGGCGGCCUUAACGGGUGGUCGCCCACACUGGGAUUGAGAUACGGCCCAGACUCCUACGGGAGGCAGCAGUCGAGAAUAGUCUACAAUGGUCGGAAGACUGAUAGUGCGACGCCGCGUGAACGAUGAAUCCCUUCGGGGUGUAAAGUUCUUUUAUAUGUGAGCAGUGCUUCUUAUAUUAACAGUAUGGGGAGAGAGAUAUUAGCAUAUGAAUAAGCAACGGCUAACUCCGUG
Molecule: ribosomal RNA, 486 nt
Filed under: uncultured bacterium
Lineage: Bacteria
Description: bacterial SSU rRNA
Rfam family: Bacterial small subunit ribosomal RNA
Source: RNAcentral